RNAcentral lists this ribosomal RNA (490 nucleotides) under uncultured bacterium. RNAcentral's name for it is "bacterial SSU rRNA". It matches the Rfam family "Bacterial small subunit ribosomal RNA", at positions 314 to 801 of the family's 1533-position model. The record is from RNAcentral.
UGGUACUGAGACACGGACCAAACUCCUACGGGAGGCAGCAGUGAGGAAUAUUGGUCAAUGGCCGAGAGGCUGAACCAGCCAAGUCGCGUGAAGGAAGAAGGAUCUAUGGUUUGUAAACUUCUUUUAUAGGGGAAUAAAGUGGAGGACGCGUCCUUUUUUGUAUGUACCCUAUGAAUAAGCAUCGGCUAACUCCGUGCCAGCAGCCGCGGUAAUACGGAGGAUGCGAGCGUUAUCCGGAUUUAUUGGGUUUAAAGGGUGCGUAGGUGGUGAUUUAAGUCAGCGGUGAAAGUUUGUGGCUCAACCAUAAAAUUGCCGUUGAAACUGGGUUACUUGAGUGUGUUUGAGGUAGGCGGAAUGCGUGGUGUAGCGGUGAAAUGCAUAGAUAUCACGCAGAACUCCGAUUGCGAAGGCAGCUUACUAAACCAUAACUGACACUGAAGCACGAAAGCGUGGGGAUCAAACAGGAUUAGAUACCCUGGUAGUCCACGCA